AAUCGAGGCAUGAUUUAAAGUGUAAUUGACGUUAGAUCCAGGUGAGUAGUUGAGAAAGUGGUUAUAAGAGAGUAAAGUACACAGCGGGAAUAGGUGCAGGGAAGGCCGGAGAGCUUGGCUAUGAUUCGUGCUGAAGUUUGCGCUCAUGUUUAAGGUGUUCGUCUGAACGCGAGAAAUCCUCUUAUUUCUGUGCACUUUUCAGUGUGAGAUCAGCCAGUCGCAGUGUUGCAGUCUACACGGUGUCGAUGAUAAAAAAAAAUAAAUAAAUAGAUGUUUACGUUACUGUACAUCUGCGAUUUCGGAUAGACGCCCUUCCUAGAGUGUGUAAACCUGAUCACAGUGCAUGUUCAAGUCGCACCCUUACACAGCCAUGAUCGUGCCUCCCACUCUGUGGUUUGUAAAGCAUGGUUUCACCCAGAGCCAAACAUUUACUUCGGUAACUUAUCACGUAAAGCUUUUAUAUGUGUCUGAGGUGUUUUUUUUUUUCUUUUCUUUUUCUUUCUUUCUUUUUGUUUGUUUAAAUAUCACCUUCAUAAUAUGGCAGGCUAUUAAUUGCGGAUAUUCUCUGACAUGCUGAAUAGCUAGGACUGUGUGAGUCACUAUGAUUUCAGUAAUGCAUCUGGACUAAAGGGCAUGUAGAAUUACAGUAUGAUUUCUGAGUUAAGCAAUGCUGCUUGUAUCUGUGUGAGCCUCUCCAGUUAUUCCUUCUUCAACCCAUGCCUCCACCACACACGCAUGCGCACACACACACACACACACACACACACACACACGCAUACACACACACGUUCAGGUUAACCUUGGACCUUUCAUUAUUAUAAUUAUACCAAUAAUGCUUUGCCUACACAUAAAUCUCACCAUGACCUUAACAUCAGCAAACAAAAUAUAUGCUCUUUUAUUUGUUUGUUUGUUUGUUGGUUGGUUUUAAUAGUUUCCUCGAGUCCCCAUGAGGUCAAAACUUUCAGAUAUUCCUAUCCUUGCAGGAAAUUUGGUCCCCAGAAAGCUAUUAAAAUAUGCCCAACACACACACAAGCUCUCUCUCUCUCUCUCUCUCUCUCUCUCUCUCUCUCUCUCUCUCUCUCUCUCUCACACACACACACACACACACACACACACACACACACACACACACACACACACACACCUAUUUGACCUAGGAUAUGGGAUUACAUUAAUAACACUAUAUUUUUCCCCUGGGUGUACACUCAUGGAUCACAGCAAGUCGGAGUAAAAUUGAAUCGCCCACAGACGCACCACUGCCCCUCAUUCCUUAUGUUCUAAACAUUUUUUGAUAGAUUUCCAUAAUUUCAACACAAUACCUAGUUCAGGUAGCCUAUAUAAGCAACACCAAUAACACAUAUAUGAAAUUUGUAGUUGGCCUAACCUUGUUUCCUAUCCAGAGUACAGACAUAACUAUAUAGUGGCACUAUUCCACCAACAGCAAUGAAAACCUUCUUCAUACUCUGCUGAACAGAUCCUUUCUCUUGUGAUGCUGCACAGAUACAGUGGACUUCAUACUGGGGAUAUCAGAAUGCCCCACAACUGAGGAAUAGCCCUUAACAACAUUUGAAUUAAGUAUAGAACCAAUAUAUAGACAAAUACAUGUUUACAGCUUCUCAUAAUCCGGGGGGAGUUUUGACUGUGCAGUUCUCCUCUUUAAAUGAUUACGAUUCACAUCUCUUUCUGCUCCGCAGGUGAGUCUCCGUGCUUCUGCUAAGCACACAAGGACUUCUUUCAGAGAAAGCUCCUUUACAGAGGCAGGAUGGCUGGGAUUAUCUUUCCUUUUGUGUCCUUCUUUUCCUCUCGCCUUCACAACACUGACUGCAUAACCCAAUGCUACACAGCAGACAUUAAAGCUCCUGUCAGAAAGAGCACAUAUGCCCAAACAAGCUAUGAAGAUAUUGACAGAAUGUCUGCUACUGUAUUUGCAAGUUUUUGUACUAUAGCUAUUUCAGAGCCACGGAUGAUGCCGUAACCAAAACUACCCCGCCUGUUGUGCUUUUUUUUGUUGUUGUUGUUGUUGUAGUUUUUUUAUUUUAUUUAAUUAAUUACUUGAAUUUGAUGCUAUCUGCAAGGCAGUUGUGAUGAACACAACACAAGAGCAUAUAUUAAAACACUAAAGGUAUCAUCCAAGAUUAUGAAGAACAGAGUGCUUUUCAAAUAUUGAAUCAUGAAGGGGUGUUGUUCUCCUUCAACAAUUCCUAGAUAUAAUUAUGAAUGCAAUAACUAACCGUGAAGGAGAUCUGGCUGAUCUGUUAAAGAUUAGCAUGCUUGUAAACACUGAAACGUAAAGCACACACUUCAGCGAUUGUCGCAACUGAAAUUAGUGACUAUGUAGUCUACGUUUGACAAAAUCCAUGGUUCUCAUUUUUAAAGUCGCUUACUAAGCAUGCACUAUUAACACAAUGUAACCUACAGUAUGCCUCCAAAUCUGCAAACUCUCUACUUAAUAAGGAUAGUGUAACAUUUUGCUCUGAGCACUUAUAAAGCAAUGCUUUCUCAAAUUUUAUUCAGGUUCUUCUGUUACUGUGCUUCAUACCAAUAGGAACAAAACCAUAGAACAGUUCUUUCCUGCUUUCAUUCUCAUCAUCUGCAUUUGCAUUUUAUUCAGCUUACCAAAGGAAAUAGCCUGCAGUGAAAAAACUCAAACCACUAUGCAUAUAUGAGAGAGAGAGAGAGAGAGAGAGAGAGAGAGAAUGAAAGACCAGAAGAAAAAGAGACACAGAAGAAGAUGGAGUGACAGAGCACCCUGUGAAAAGAAAUGACAGAUCUCAGAGCUUCUGUCCAUUUCCAACAUAAUCUUCUGCAAAAAAGAAAAAAAAAAAAACCCUUCCACAUCAGCAUGGCAUGCAGUGAUAUGAAGUGCAAUCCACUCAUCCAUUGUCACUUAACCAUGGAUAUCUUUACUCAAAAGCCUUAAAAAGUCCUUUGAUAGUAUCUAGAGACCAAUUUACAAAAAUCUCCAUGCUAUUAUUACUAGAAAGCGGAUGCACAAUGCUGUCCUGUCUGUGACGACUGGGUCAUCCAUAGAGGAGUGAGAGUAGCGAGAAUCCUCAGUCGUUACCUAAGGACACACCACAGGCGAGUUAUCGUCAUCAGACCUCGCUAACUACAUGUGGUCUCAGCUCCUCUGACAACGAAAGGGACCCAUCAAUGUUUCAGUCCACAGAGAGUGCCUCAAAAAGGCCUUUAAAAAAAUUACCAAUGAAAACUCUUCUUUGUGGAUGUGCACAGCCAGCUGGCCGUGAUAGCCAGUACUGCCCAGGGACUGCAGAGUGCCAAGCUGGCAGAGGGAGGGCAGCUCUGGGGCAGAGAGGACUGGCAGCUCCAGGCCUCCAGGGGGGACAGAGGAGCAGUAAGCCCAUGGAGCAGUAACCUGCCCCCUGGGGGGAGAAGGGGAGGAGAUCUCAGCUGGGUGGAGAACUCAGCCUGCCUCUCGAGGGCAUCUCGCUGCUCUUGCUACAUUGCUGUCAUCUUGACCCACUGACUGCCCGUCGAUCCUGGCACCGUGCCAAGCUGUAAUGGCAGGCCGCACACAAAGGCACUCUGCCAGUGUCCUGCUGCAAGUCUGUGACUGGCAAUGAAUAUAAAACAGCUAUGUGUGUGUGUAUGUGUGUGUGUGUGUGUGUGUGUGUAUUCUCAGACUGUUUGUGUCUUAGUCCAUUAAUCCAGCUAGACUAGAUAUCUGUGUAUGUCAAUGUGAAUGGCAGUGUGAGCCAAUGUUUAGUAGGUUUGGGAAUUUUGGUAUCUACAUUAGAUAUUAGAUUUAUUUUCCUUCCCGGAAGACUAAAGUCGAUGUUAUACCGGAGCAGUUGUGCCUAGCUGAAUAUAAAAAGUUCUGUCAUAAGCAUACGCUCCAUAGCAACGUAUCAAACUUUCCUCACAGUGCUCUACAAUGUCUGAGAUGUUCUGCACCGACGUAUUUGAAUUAAGCUAAUCUCUACCACUCGCUUUUUUUGUAUAAGAUCGAUUGACGAAGAAUGCUUAAUGAAUUCAUGUCAUUUAUUGUAAAAAUUAUUCCUAAUGUAAAAAUGAUAUAGA
Long non-coding RNA from Ictalurus punctatus (channel catfish), 4041 nucleotides. The record is from Ensembl. Lineage: Eukaryota; Metazoa; Chordata; Actinopteri; Siluriformes; Ictaluridae.